CUCUAGAAUAAGAAGAAUGCCAAGCUGCAGCAAUUUGGAGUUUUAGAAAUUUGGUUACCAAGUACCUGAGUGCCUCUGCCAGCAUGGAUAAAUUAACCACCUAGGGGGUAAGGUCACAUACUGAGCUUAGUUCUGCUUAAGGAACGACACAAACUUGAAAAGAUUCAGGAGAAAAAAAUCGGGUUUCCUUUUUUCUUUCUUUUAGAAAAAUGAGAAUAUAGAACAUUUUUCAGAAUAUGAAAGUCCCACCACAUGUUCCUAGCAACUUAGCAACUAUCUCCAGGCCUCACAUGUUUAGCCCUUUCCCAAAAGUGUUUACAAUGAACACACACUGGGAAAGCCAUCUCCAAAACACUGUGAGAAGGGGCACAAAAGAAAAUACGUACAGCAGGCCAGCGUGGGGGCUCACGCCUGUAAUCCCAGUACUUUGGGAGGCCGAGGUUGGAGGACUGCUUUAGCUGGGGAGUUUGAGACCAGGCUGGGUAACAUGGUGGGACCGUGUCUCUGGUGGGGGGAGUCGGGGGGAGGAAGCUGGGCGUGGCCUGCAGCUGUGAUCCCAGCUCCUCCGAAAGGUGAGGUGGGAGGAU
Molecule: long non-coding RNA, 587 nt
Filed under: Pan troglodytes (chimpanzee)
Lineage: Eukaryota; Metazoa; Chordata; Mammalia; Primates; Hominidae
Description: long non-coding RNA NONPTRT007804
Source: RNAcentral